RNAcentral lists this ribosomal RNA (444 nucleotides) under uncultured bacterium. RNAcentral's name for it is "bacterial SSU rRNA". It matches the Rfam family "Bacterial small subunit ribosomal RNA", at positions 28 to 507 of the family's 1533-position model. The record is from RNAcentral.
GAUGAACGCUGGCGGUAUGCCUAACACAUGCAAGUCGUACGAGAGUUUUUAACUCUAGUGGCGGACGGGUGAGUAACACGUGAGAAUUUGCCUUUAGGAGGGGGAUAACAAUUGGAAACGAAUGCUAAUACCCCAUAUGCUUUUGAGUGAAAUGGAUUUUAUCCGCCUAGAGAGAAGCUCGCGGCUGAUUAGCUUGUUGGUAAGGUAAGAGCUUACCAAGGCGACGAUCAGUAUCUGGUUUGAGAGGACGAUCAGACACACUGGAACUGAGACACGGUCCAGACUCCUACGGGAGGCAGCAGUGGGGAAUUUUCCGCAAUGGGCGAAAGCCUGACGGAGCAAUACCGCGUGAGGGAAGAAUGCCUAUGGGUUGUAAACCUCUUUUUUCAGGUAGGAAUAAAAUAGACGUGUACCUGAAGAAUAAGACAUCGGCUAACUACCGUG